RNAcentral lists this transfer RNA (84 nucleotides) under Candidatus Woesearchaeota archaeon. Its description in RNAcentral is "tRNA-Ser". It matches the Rfam family "tRNA". Rfam says of the family: Transfer RNA (tRNA) molecules are approximately 80 nucleotides in length. Their secondary structure includes four short double-helical elements and three loops (D, anti-codon, and T loops). The record is from RNAcentral. Lineage: Archaea; Nanobdellati; Candidatus Woesearchaeota.
GCAGAGGUGGCGGAACUGGUAGACGCACUAGUCUCGAAAACUAGUGUCCUUUUGGACAUGCAGGUUCAAAUCCUGUCCUCUGCG